GGCUGUGGCUCAGUGGUAGAGCAGUUGCCCAGCAUGCUGGAGACCUGGGUUCCAUCCCCAGCACCCA
RNAcentral lists this transfer RNA (67 nucleotides) under Marmota monax (woodchuck). Its description in RNAcentral is "tRNA.Ala". The record is from RNAcentral. Lineage: Eukaryota; Metazoa; Chordata; Mammalia; Rodentia; Sciuridae.